RNAcentral lists this unclassified non-coding RNA (1473 nucleotides) under Roholtiella mixta Pr23. RNAcentral describes it as "bacterial SSU rRNA". Lineage: Bacteria; Bacillati; Cyanobacteriota; Cyanophyceae; Nostocales; Fortieaceae. The record is from RNAcentral.
CAAUACCGCGUGAGGGAGGAAGGCUCUUGGGUUGUAAACCUCUUUUCUCAGGGAAGAACACAAUGACGGUACCUGAGGAAUAAGCAUCGGCUAACUCCGUGCCAGCAGCCGCGGUAAUACGGAGGAUGCAAGCGUUAUCCGGAAUGAUUGGGCGUAAAGCGUCCGCAGGUGGCUAUGUAAGUCUGCUGUUAAAGAGUGAGGCUCAACCUCAUAAGAGCAGUGGAAACUACAUGGCUAGAGUGCGUUCGGGGCAGAGGGAAUUCCUGGUGUAGCGGUGAAAUGCGUAGAGAUCAGGAAGAACACCGGUGGCGAAAGCGCUCUGCUAGGCCGCAACUGACACUGAGGGACGAAAGCUAGGGGAGCGAAUGGGAUUAGAUACCCCAGUAGUCCUAGCCGUAAACGAUGGAUACUAGGCGUGGCUUGUAUCGACCCGAGCCGUGCCGUAGCUAACGCGUUAAGUAUCCCGCCUGGGGAGUACGCACGCAAGUGUGAAACUCAAAGGAAUUGACGGGGGCCCGCACAAGCGGUGGAGUAUGUGGUUUAAUUCGAUGCAACGCGAAGAACCUUACCAAGACUUGACAUGUCGCGAAUCUCCUUGAAAGGGGAGAGUGCCUUCGGGAGCGCGAACACAGGUGGUGCAUGGCUGUCGUCAGCUCGUGUCGUGAGAUGUUGGGUUAAGUCCCGCAACGAGCGCAACCCUCGUUUUUAGUUGCCAGCAUUAAGUUGGGCACUCUAGAGAGACUGCCGGUGACAAACCGGAGGAAGGUGGGGAUGACGUCAAGUCAGCAUGCCCCUUACGUCUUGGGCUACACACGUACUACAAUGCUACGGACAAAGGGCAGCUACACAGCGAUGUGAUGCAAAUCUCAUAAACCGUAGCUCAGUUCAGAUCGAAGGCUGCAACUCGCCUUCGUGAAGGAGGAAUCGCUAGUAAUUGCAGGUCAGCAUACUGCAGUGAAUUCGUUCCCGGGCCUUGUACACACCGCCCGUCACACCAUGGAAGCUGGUAGUGCCCGAAGUCAUUACUCCAACCUUUCGGGGGGGAGGAUGCCGAAGGCAGGACUGGUGACUGGGGUGAAGUCGUAACAAGGUAGCCGUACCGGAAGGUGUGGCUGGAUCACCUCCUUUUAGGGAGACCUACCCCACUCGAAUAUCGAAAAACAAUCAGUUAAAUAGAUAUUGAGUUGGUCUAUCCUAGGUCGGUCGAGAUUGGUAAAAGCUUUCAAAGUAUUUUAGUUCGGUUUAACAACCAUUGAAACUAUUGGAAAUAUAAAUUCAGCACUUGGCUYAUGCCAGACUGCUGGAUUAUUCCAGCCAGAACCUUGAAAACUGCAUAGUAACGCGAAAAAAGCAGGCAGACGAAUCUAAGUGAUGAGUGCCAAGUGAUGAGUGCUGAUUUUAAUCAGUGUGAAUCACAAAGUAAACAGAACUUUGAAUAAGUUUGCAGUGGUGAACACCAAUGUAAGUGGUCAA